RNAcentral lists this ribosomal RNA (443 nucleotides) under uncultured bacterium. RNAcentral's name for it is "partial 16S ribosomal RNA". It matches the Rfam family "Bacterial small subunit ribosomal RNA", at positions 338 to 795 of the family's 1533-position model. The record is from RNAcentral.
CCUACGGGAGGCAGCAGUGGGGAAUAUUGGGCAAUGGGCGCAAGCCUGACCCAGUAACGCCGCGUGAAGGAAGAAGGCUUUCGGGUUGUAAACUUCUUUUCUCAGGGACGAAACAAGUGACGGUACCUGAGGAAUAAGCCACGGCUAACUACGUGCCAGCAGCCGCGGGAAUACGUAGGUGGCAAGCGUUAUACGGAUUUACUGGGUGUAAAGGGCGUGUAGGCGGGAAAGCAAGUCAGAUGUGAAAACCAUGGGCUCAACCUGUGGCCUGCAUUUGAAACUGUUUUUCUUGAGUACUGGAGAGGCAGACGGAAUUCCUAGUGUAGCGGUGAAAUGCGUAGAUAUUAGGAGGAACACCAGUGGCGAAGGCGGUCUGCUGGACAGCAACUGACGCUGAGGCGCGAAAGCGUGGGGAGCAAACAGGAUUAGAUACCCUAGUAGUC